CAAAGGACCUUCAAACUCCAGUCAGUAAACGCAGACGUCUGAUAAACAAGUUAAUAAACUAAAACUUUCAACAACGGAUCUCUUGGUUCUGGCAUCGAUGAAGAACGCAGCGAAAUGCGAUAAGUAAUGUGAAUUGCAGAAUUCAGUGAAUCAUCGAAUCUUUGAACGCACAUUGCGCCCCUUGGUAUUCCGGGGGGCAUGCCUGUUCGAGCGUCAUUACAACCCUCAAGCUCUGCUUGGAAUUGGGCACCGUCCUCACUGCGGACGCGCCUCAAAGACCUCGGCGGUGGCUGUUCAGCCCUCAAGCGUAGUAGAAUACACCUCGCUUUGGAGCGUGUUGGCGUCGCCCGCCGGACGAACCUUCUGAACUUUUCUCAAGGUUGACCUCGGAUCAGGGUAGGGA
Molecule: ribosomal RNA, 403 nt
Filed under: Lasiodiplodia theobromae
Lineage: Eukaryota; Fungi; Ascomycota; Dothideomycetes; Botryosphaeriales; Botryosphaeriaceae
Description: eukaryotic LSU rRNA
Rfam family: 5.8S ribosomal RNA (bases 63-216)
Source: RNAcentral